GUAAGAAAUGUCUUUUUCAUCACAUCUGACUGAUUUCUGUCAUUCCUAUAGCAGAUUAUCAUCUUUCCCAAACUGGAACUGUCAUGUGCUUCUCGUGGCUCUGAAGAUAACUCCUCUGCCAUGUGAAGCAAUAGGCGGCUGCUUUUUAUCCCAUCCAUUGUUAGCUGUUUGAAUUUGAGACGGCUAGUAUUCAUUCUCUACUGCUGUUGAAGCCAUAUCUUACAAGAUCUUUAGAGAGGAUACAUAAUACUUUGUAUAUUUACCAAAACAAUGUUAUCUGCUGACACAAUAAAAU
Podarcis lilfordi (Lilford's wall lizard) is the source of this 295-nucleotide non-coding RNA. The record is from the annotation of a GenBank genome assembly. NCBI's taxonomy places the organism in Eukaryota, Metazoa, Chordata, Lepidosauria, Squamata, Lacertidae.